ACGGUUAAAAUAAAAUAAAAGAACGUAGCAUCUAAAAAAACCCUAGCGAUCUCUUUUCAUCAGACGCCGCUUAACAUUUUCUCUCUCUUAAAAAACCCCUAGCAAUACUGCGAUACAGGGAAAGGGAAGGAGAAAAAAAACCCUAGCGAUCUCUUCUCAUCAGAGUUUGCGAUCCAAUGGAGAUUCAUACUGUCAGCCAUUGCCAUUCCCUGCCAAACUUAGACCACCGCAAUUGGCACUCGUCAAAGUUUAAUACGAUCGAAGUUUUUCAGUUUUUGCUGUUGCAGAUCACGAAUAGAGGUAUUGAGAUAUGGAGAUAGAUAUCGGUGCUACUCCGUGACCAUAAUCGGAAUUAAACACAGACUGACGAAAGGUACGCAUCAAUUCUCUGUGCUCGAAUUUGAAUUGAAAUUCGGAUGUUCAUUUGGAUGUUAUAUGUUGAUUAUUGAAAAAUCAGACCGACCUCUUCAUUUAAAAGGAACAUUGACAAGAUAAUUGAAAGAUAAAACCAUUUUACAGUUUAUUAUAGUUUGCUACUUAUCUCAUACUUCGUAUUACAUUUUGUUCAUUUACUGUAUUCCUAUUUCAAUUGGCUUUGAUUUGCAUGUUUUGCUUUGAUCAUCUAUUAUCUAAAACAAAAAAGUCUAAAACCCUUUUAAUGUUUGUGCUAAAAAGUCAUGUUCUCCAUGGAUCUUUAUUAUUAUGUUUGCUCUGUUUUGCAAUUGAUUAUUCCAGUACUCUGUUAUUUACUAAUUUGUUAAUUAUAUUUAUCCUUUGAUGACAUUAUAACUGAUAUUCAUUUGUGCUGUUAACUAUCAUUCUUAUCCAUUUGACUUCUACUCUUUUUAAUUCUAUAUUAAUUUGAUAAGAUUUUUUAAUGUUCCAAAUGAUAAACUCAGAUUGAAUGUAGGUCUGCCAAUAAUGUAGUUAUGUUUCCCAAUUUUCCUUGAACUAAUGUAAAUGACUCUGCAGUUUUUGUUAUCUUUGGUGCCGGAAGAUUAGGCUUUGCAAAAUCUGGGGCUAGGAGUUUAGCUGUUGUAAAUGAUAACGGUUUUGAGUAUGAUGAUAUUACUGUAUAUAAGGGCCAAUUCUAUGUGAUUGAUACAUUGGGAAACGUUUCGUGGAUCGAUAAUUCGUCAUUGAUAGAUACUUUAAUAAAGAAAGGAGGAGGGUAGAACAUACCAACCGGUAUGUUAGAGAUUGUGAUGUUCGCAAAGUGGUUGAUUUCAAAGUGUUUAGCAAAAAAAAAAAAAAAAACUAUUGAUGUAGAUAGUUUCCAUGCAAUUGAGAAUUUGUAAUGUAGUUUUGAAAGAGUAUCUCAAAAUGUGAAGUUGUAUUUCUAUUGUACAAUUUUAUUAUAUUUUCCCUUUUGACA
Long non-coding RNA from Quercus robur (English oak), 1375 nucleotides. RefSeq lists it as uncharacterized. The record is from RefSeq and is a predicted model, not a curated record. The transcript is spliced from 2 exons. Lineage: Eukaryota; Viridiplantae; Streptophyta; Magnoliopsida; Fagales; Fagaceae.